This 217-nucleotide ribosomal RNA is filed under the name uncultured bacterium. RNAcentral's name for it is "partial 16S ribosomal RNA". It matches the Rfam family "Bacterial small subunit ribosomal RNA", at positions 524 to 738 of the family's 1533-position model. The record is from RNAcentral.
UACAGAGGGUGCGAGCGUUGUCCGGAAUCACUGGGCGUAAAGGGCGCGUAGGCGGCUUGAUAAGCGUGCGGUGAAAGCCCGGGGCUCAACCCCGGGUCGGCCGUGCGAACUGUCGAGCUGGAGCACUGUAGAGGCAGGUGGAAUUCCGGGUGUAGCGGUGGAAUGCGUAGAGAUCCGGAAGAACACCAGGUAGCGAAGGCGGCACUCGUGGGCCGUG